Molecule: long non-coding RNA, 915 nt
Filed under: Ananas comosus (pineapple)
Lineage: Eukaryota; Viridiplantae; Streptophyta; Magnoliopsida; Poales; Bromeliaceae
Description: long non-coding RNA (ACOM_LNC022157)
Source: RNAcentral
CCAAAAUAUAACUUUUGACAUUUAAAGUAAAUAUUCUUUACAUCAUUCAUUAAAGCAAGUUCAUAAUACUAAAAUCAUCAAAUACAAAAGAUGAUAGUAAAGGUUGUGCAACUACAAAAUGAAAUCCAUCUCGGACGGUCUCUACCUAGGGCAUCGGGCGCGAUGCCCUUACCGCGAUCAUCUGCCGGCUCGCUCGGUCCCGGCUGUGUGGAAAUAGUGGGGUGAGAACUACAACAAAGUUCCCAGUGGGUUCGGCAACCAACCACGCCGACUAUCCCACUAGGUCUAAUCAGGCAUAAUAGAAGAAAGAAUAGAUAAUAACCAACUAACAAAUGCAGCUAAUAUGCCUGAACAAUAAAUAAAAUUAUGCUCGAUAGAAUGCUCAUGAUGAAUGCAAGAUUAACUUUUCAUUACCCAAUCUCAUGGCUAGCCCGUAGAUUUUGCCCUCACAAACUCACCAACCCAAAUCCCUAUUGUCGGGGAGAUAACCGCUACAACCCGACGGGACCGCCCUCUGGGGAGAUAACCGCUACGACCCAGUGAUGACAACUCCGGAGCACAUCGCCCGAGAGGGAGCUACCGCCCUCGAGCAAGGACUAUUAGGUGAGUACGAUCAAUCCUUAACUUUAAGGAUUUUAAGUUCAAUCCAUUCCUUGACUUCAAGGAGAACCAUGUACAUAUGACCCUUAAUUCUAAGGUGUUUAUGUCAUAAUGUCACUACUUGUUCUUAUUCUUUGUCAAUGAUGCCACACUUGUUUUCUAAGUCCUCUAGACUCAUCAAUGUCACUUGCUAAAUCUAUGUCAACAUGUCACAUUUGUUUACUAACCCUUCUAGGUUCUUGUCCCUUGUCAUGCAUAUAUAGGGUUACCAAUUCUCAUUCAUUUACUACUAUUUCUCAAGCAUUAGAACUCAUA